AGAUUGAACGCUAGCGGGAUGCUUUACACAUGCAAGUCGAACGGCAGCGCGGACUUCGGUCUGGCGGCGAGUGGCGAACGGGUGAGUAAUAUAUCGGAACGUGCCCAGUAGCGGGGGAUAACUACGCGAAAGCGUGGCUAAUACCGCAUACGCCCUACGGGGGAAAGGGGGGGAUUCUUCGGGACCUCUCACUAUUGGAGCGGCCGAUAUCAGAUUAGCUAGUUGGUGAGGUAAAGGCUCACCAAGGCGACGAUCUGUAGCUGGUUUGAGAGGACGACCAGCCACACUGGGACUGAGACACGGCCCAGACUCCGUACGGGAGCAGCAGUGGGAAUUUGGACAAGUGGGGAACCUGAUCCAGCCAUCCCGCGUGUGCGAUGAAGGCCUUGGUUGUAAGCUACGUUUGGACGAGGAAGAAACGGCGUGACCGUAAGUACGGACGUCACUGACGUAC
RNAcentral lists this ribosomal RNA (454 nucleotides) under uncultured soil bacterium. Its description in RNAcentral is "bacterial SSU rRNA". It matches the Rfam family "Bacterial small subunit ribosomal RNA", at positions 26 to 490 of the family's 1533-position model. The record is from RNAcentral.